Molecule: ribosomal RNA, 520 nt
Filed under: uncultured Entrophospora
Lineage: Eukaryota; Fungi; Glomeromycota; Glomeromycetes; Entrophosporales; Entrophosporaceae
Description: SSU rRNA
Rfam family: Eukaryotic small subunit ribosomal RNA
Source: RNAcentral
AGCAGCCGCGGUAAUUCCAGCUCCAAUAGCGUAUAUUAAAGUUGUUGCAGUUAAAAAGCUCGUAGUUGAAUUUCGGGAUUGACACAUCGGUCGUGCCUUAAGGGGUAUGAACUGGUGUAGUCAAUUUCUCACCUUCUGGAGAACCGCGAUGUCCUUAAUUGGGUGCCGCGGGGAACCAGGACCUUUACUUUGAAAAAUUAGAGUGUUUAAAGCAGGCAUUUUUGCUUGAAUACAUUAGCAUGGAAUAAUAAAAUAGGACGGCAUGGUUCUAUUUUGUUGGUUUCUAGGACCACCGUAAUGAUUAAUAGGGAUAGUUGGGGGCAUUAGUAUUCAAUUGUCAGAGGUGAAAUUCUUGGAUUUAUUGAAGACUAACUACUGCGAAAGCAUUUGCCAAGGAUGUUUUCAUUAAUCAAGAACGAAAGUUAGGGGAUCGAAGACGGUCAGAUACCGUCGUAGUCUUAACCAUAAACCUAUGCCGACUAGGGAUCGGGAUGAUGUUUAAUUUUUUAAUGUACUCAUU